RNAcentral lists this ribosomal RNA (516 nucleotides) under Burkholderia sp. RNAcentral describes it as "bacterial SSU rRNA". It matches the Rfam family "Bacterial small subunit ribosomal RNA", at positions 85 to 595 of the family's 1533-position model. Lineage: Bacteria; Pseudomonadati; Pseudomonadota; Betaproteobacteria; Burkholderiales; Burkholderiaceae. The record is from RNAcentral.
CUGGUGGCGAGUGGCGAACGGGUGAGUAAUACAUCGGAACGUGUCCUGUAGUGGGGGAUAGCCCGGCGAAAGCCGGAUUAAUACCGCAUACGCUCUGCGGAGGAAAGCGGGGGAUCCUUCGGGACCUCGCGCUACAGGGGCGGCCGAUGGCAGAUUAGCUAGUUGGUGGGGUAAAGGCCUACCAAGGCGACGAUCUGUAGCUGGUCUGAGAGGACGACCAGCCACACUGGGACUGAGACACGGCCCAGACUCCUACGGGAGGCAGCAGUGGGGAAUUUUGGACAAUGGGCGCAAGCCUGAUCCAGCAAUGCCGCGUGUGUGAAGAAGGCCUUCGGGUUGUAAAGCACUUUUGUCCGGAAAGAAAACCUYGUGGUUAAUACCCGUGGGGGAUGACGGUACCGGAAGAAUAAGCACCGGCUAACUACGUGCCAGCAGCCGCGGUAAUACGUAGGGUGCAAGCGUUAAUCGGAAUUACUGGGCGUAAAGCGUGCGCAGGCGGUUCGCUAAGACAGAUGU